Long non-coding RNA from Pantherophis guttatus, 1323 nucleotides. RefSeq lists it as uncharacterized. The record is from RefSeq and is a predicted model, not a curated record. Lineage: Eukaryota; Metazoa; Chordata; Lepidosauria; Squamata; Colubridae.
UCUCCCACCUUCCUCGGCGUCACGAUAGAAAGGGAAUGUUGGAGCCGCGUUUCUUAACUUGGACGGCUUUCAGCUAUGUGGACUUCAACUCCCAGAAUUUCCGGCUGGCUCGGAGGGGCAUUCUGGGAGUUGAAGUCCACGUACCUGAAAGUUGGUAAGGUCUCCGAGGCACGUUGCGUUGGAGUUAAACACAAGCGUUUUGCUUCCUGGUUCACGCCAGGGAUGGGGAAAGAGAAUCGGCGCUCAGGCGGAGUCAGGGGAAGGAAGGAACCAAACUUUUUCCAUACUAGGUCUUACACUUAUUUUCCCAGUGUUUCGUUUAGAGUUUAUUGUAGCCUUCCUUAAAACACGUGUGGUCAAUUGUUCACGAAAUAGUUUCCCUUGAAAUCUGUAUCCAGGUUAUUAUGUUUACUCAUAGUCUUCCGCUGAGUAAGCAUAGAUCAGUUCUCUAAAUGUUUACCCUAACCCAAAAUACUUCUCUUCUUCUGAUCCUCACUUGUAAUAAGGAACAUUAAUUAUAGAUUAGACGCAGACUGGGAGUACUAUGGAUAAUUUUGCCUGCCGAGAUUAUUGAUCAAAAUGUUCAGAGGAAAGCAUCAAAGGUUCAACCAGCAUUUUAAAAAAUGUUAAUAUACUGCUGCUGCUUCCAAAACACAAGCUGCUGAGUGCCUCCAAGCUUCAUCCCUGCGAACUCUUGUGCUGUCGAACAGCUGAUUGGGGCACCAGGUAACAAAAUGAAAACAUGUCUUCCAAAAGUCUAUCAGUGAGUUGUGGUAAUAGACAGUGUAUCUGUUCCUUUUGUGGUAACUAAAGGGAAAUUUCUGGGUCUUGCAAAUUGUCCAUAUAUUGUAUGUGUGCAUUUAAAUAAUAGCUUACAUUCCCUCUGUAAUUGUCAGAUAAUAGAAGAAUUAGAAUGACGGUCUCUUUAUUUUUUAACUAGUCAAAGUGAUUCAGAAUAUUGCAUUGGAACAUGAUUUCCUUUACAAAUUAUCUAAGCAGGCACCUAGCCAUAGCAGCUGAAAUAUUGUCAUACUAAUUUCAGUAACUGAGUAUUGGCCAAAUUGUAUAUUAAAUAGGAUUUUAAGAGCCAUUAUGACAAUGGAUAUUCAUUCAAUAAAUAGGCAUUUCUUGCUCCGCUUAAUGGGCAAAAAAAGCCUUCCAAAAUGAUGUUUUUCUACAUAAAAAUUAUUGCUCCUCCACUUCCCAAGCUGUAAUAUUUUGUUACUUUAAAACUAGCAUUUCAUCUAGCAAUCCAAUUGCAAUUAGCAUUUGUUUGCCAUUUUGUGAAAUUGUAUUUAUUGCUUCUAUUUCUCAUUAAAAGCU